UUCUUGCGCAUGCGCACAAAGCACGGUGAUAGUUACGGUUACUGACUCAGGAACCUUGUAUAUUAUAUACGUUUAAUAAACUGGAUCCUUGUUGUGUUCAGUUAUCGAUACACUACGAUGGAAUUACGGACCAGUUUAACAUAAACAUGGUAAAUAGAUAGACAGCUGAUAAUCAUAAUUGAUUAAGAAAUAACCUGGAAGAAGAAAUGAGUUAACUAUUGAUUACAACAGAGACGAGAAUGCCAUCGUGUUUGUUCUGCUAAAAAAAAGCAGGAACAUUGGAGUUUAUGGUUAGAUUUUAAAUAUUUAUUGUCUCCAAACUGGGUAAAUUUGAUAUAGUAACACCCCCCCCUUUUUUUUUUUAAAUAACUCGAGAACCACACAUCGCGCUCGCUUAACAAAGUAACAAUAAGAAAUAAUUAUUGUUAGUUUCAAGAAUAAUUAAUCGUCAAAACUUAUCCCCUCCCCGACAUCAAAGGAAGUUAAAUGUAUUAUCCCAAAAUUAGACCAAAUUUUUAUGAUAUAAGGACGUCUUGACAGGCUAUUAUUUUAUUUUGUUUUGUUGGUUUUUUUUUUUUUGCUUUGACGUCUUCCUCCUGUAUGAAAAAAAAACAUAAUAGACCCCCCCCCUUUUUCCCCAUAAUAUAGCUUUUUAAGAAGUCAUAACUAUUUGGACUACCCCUGAAUAUAUUUCAGACAGACUCUUCUCUAAAAAAAUGUAAACAUGAUUUGAGAGAAAUCUUUGGAAUAGUUUUUUAAAUGAUUUAAUUAUUAUGUCAUGUAUAUAAUUGACAUUAACAUAGUUAUAAAACUGAGACUACUAGUAUAACACAUAGUGUUAUAGUAGUCUCAGCUAUAAACUUUCCAUUGUAUUGACCAAUAUGACUAACUCAUAUGCUCUUUCCCAUAAAUGUCACAAUAUCAAUAUAUUACAGUAAAACUGAUAGUUUGAUGACAUUGUUUAAGACUAUUGACCUCAGGUCAGCCUAAACUGAGUUUAAAACUGUAAUUUAUUCAUUAAAACAGUUCAAGACAUGUACCUUCUGAAAUGUGAUUGCAUCAAAAUUAAACCUAAGGCAUAACAUACUUAGUGUGCAGGAAGUGCCACCAAAUAAAUACUGAUUUGUAAAAUUAGAUGAUGAUAUUUGUGAAGUCAAAGAUAUUAUAGCUAGUUAUAACUGGUUUUAGAUAUAAAUCUGAGUAAAAGGUUGAUUUAUAUGUGCUCUUUCAUGUUUAGAUUAUAAUUUAAAUUUAAUCUUUUGAAGUUUUUUUUAUAAUAUUAAGACAUUAAAAUCACAAUUAUUUAUUUAUACACAAAAAAAUAAUUUUUGUCCUUUUUUAGUUGAAUGACUGUACACAAACAUUAUACACACAUAAUUUUGAUAAUUCUGUAAUGUUUUUUUUUUCUAUAGCCCCAGAAUGUGACAAAAGACUUAUUAAUCCAGAUUUACAAAAAAUAGAAAUAGUUCAGCUACCAUAAGACUGCUAUGACAAAAAUUUUGCAGUUUCCAGAAUUUGAGGUAGAGUAUAGUUAGGAAUAGUUUGAUUAUGCAGAUGCUUAGUUUGCCAUAAACAAUUAUGCCCUUGAUACAAAAGCAGAGGAAACAAAAAAGUAUGAAAAUAGUUGAAAAAAGUAAUCAUUAUUACCUAGUCAUAUACUGUAAAUAGAAAAAGAGAAAAGCACUGGUUAUGAUUUGGUAUUUUUAAUAGCAUUAUCAUUUGUCCAUAACUUGGAAUAUAUACUGGAUUGAGCUUGACAUUUAUUUAAUAUCAUUGACACAUGGUUGCAAGAAAUGAAAGAUGGUAAUUUAAACCUAGCAAUUUUAUUAAGAUUUAAAAAAAAAGCUUUUUGAUUUGGUAGAAUAUGACUUUCUUUGUUUAAAGCUCGACAUGUAUGGAUUUAGUGAGACUACUGUUAGUUUUUUUAAGUCGUACCUGAAUAACAAAAGGUAUACAUUUGUAAUGUUAACUCUGAACAACAACAUGUAAAAUUUGGUGUUCCCCAAUGUUCUAUACCUUGUCCUCUAUUGUUUGUGCUAUUUAUAAAUGACCUUCCCUUAUGCAUUAAAAAUUGUGAAACAGACCUAUAUAUCGUUGUAUAUGCUGAUGACACCAUUCAUAAAUCAGGGGGAAACAUCUAGAAAUAUAAAUGAUGAUGUUCAAGAAGAUUUAUACAGGGUUGAAGAGUGGUGUAAAAUGAAUAACAUGUUCAUAAGAUGCAAAUGAAACAAAAUGUUUGAUUACUGGAACAAAGCAGAAACUAUUCAGACUUUUCAACCAAACUUGAUAAUAAAUUAAAGUAUUACAAAAUUCUUCAUGUGAAAAAAUAUUAGUUUCAAAAUUGACAGCCCACUAAGUAACUGGAGAAAUCAAAUUGACCAAGGUUGUGCUAAUAUAUCAUCCAGAAUAUACCAUCUUUCUUAAAUACAUUUUUUUUUAUAUAACUGCAAGAAAACAUAAUACAAUGGGUGUUCUGCCCCUAAUUGACUACUGUUGUAUUAUUUGGGAUGAAUGUAAAAAUUGAGGGAUAACAAGAAUUUUAAAAAUCCAAAAAAAGGGCAGCAUGAUAAAUUCUAGAUGCAGAUCCGUUAUCCCUCUUGGUAUAUAGGAGCACUAUAUUCUAUGUUAACCUCCGCCAGUAGGUAUAAACAAAUACUGUUGAUAGACGGUAUAUAGGAGCACUAUAUUCCAUGUUAACCACCGACGGUAGGUAUAGACAAAUACUGGUGAUAGACGGUAUAUAGGAGCACUAUAUUGUAUGUUAACCACCGACGGUAGGUAUAGACAAAUACUGUUGAUAGACGGUAUAUAGGAGCACUAUAUUGUAUGUUAACUACCGACGGUAGGUAUAGACAAAUACUGUUGAUAGACGGUAUAUAGGAGCACUAUAUUGUAUGUUAACUACCGACACGGUAGGUAUAGACAAAUACUGUUGAUAGACGGUAUAUAGGAGCACUAUAUUGUAUGUUAACCACCGACGGUAGGUAUAGACAAAUACUGUUGAUAGACGGUAUAUAGGAGCACUAUAUUGUAUGUUAACACCGACGGUAGGUAUAGACAAAUACUGUUGAUACAGUAUGGUAUGGGAGUGCACUUUAGACAAUGCAUUUUGUAUGGGACAUAUGUUUUAGGUAUAGACAAUAUACAUACUGUGAUAGACGGUAUAUAGGAGCACUAUAUUGUAUGUUAACUACCGACAGUAGGUAUAGACAAAUACUGUUGAUAGACGGUAUAUAUGGGAGCACUAUAUUGUAUGUUAACCACCGACGGUAGGUAUAGACAAAUACUGUUGAUAGACGGUAUAUAGGAGCACUAUAUUGUAUGUUAACUACCGACGGUAGGUAUAGACAAAUACUGUUGAUAGACGGUAUAUAGGAGCACUAUAUUGUAUGUUAACCACCGACGGUAGGUAUAGACAAAUACUGUUGAUAGACGGUAUAUAGGAGCACUAUAUUGUAUGUUAACUACCGACAGUAGUAGUAUAGACAAAUACUGUUGAUAGACGGUAUAUAGGAGCACUAUAUUGUAUGUUAACUACCGACAGUAGGUAUAGACAAAUACUGUUGAUAGACGGUAUAUAGGAGCACUAUAUUGUAUGUUAACCACCGACGGUAGGUAUAGACAAAUACUGUUGAUAGAUGGUAUAUAGGAGCACUAUAUUGUAUGUUAACUACCGACGGUAGGUAUAGACAAAUACUGUUGAUAGACGGUAUAUAGGAGCACUAUAUUGUAUGUUAACUACCGACAGUAGGUAUAGACAAAUACUGUUGAUAGACGGUAUAUAGGAGCACUAUAUUGUAUGUUAAACUACCGACGGUAGGUAUAGACAAAUACUGUUGAUAGACGGUAUAUAGGAGCACUAUAUUGUAUGUUAACCACCGACGGUAGGUAUAGACAAAUACUGUUGAUAGACGGUAUAUAGGAGCACUAUAUUGUAUGUUAACUACCGACAGUAGGUAUAGACAAAUACUGUUGAUAGACGGUAUAUAGGAGCACUAUAUUGUAUGUUAAACUACCGACGGUAGGUAUAGACAAAUACUGUUGAUAGACGGUAUAUAGGAGCACUAUAUUGUAUGUUAAACACCGACGGUAGGUAUAGACAAAUACUGUUGAUAGACGGUAUAUAGGAGCACUUUAUUGCAUGUUAACCACCGACGGUAGGUAUAGACAAAUACUGUUGAUGGACGGUGCAAAGGAGUACUAUAUCGUAUGUUAACCACUGACGGUAGGUAUAGACAAAUACUGUUGAUAGACGGUAUAUAGGAGGACUGUAUUGUAUGUUAACCACCGACGGUAGGUAUAGACAAAUACUGUUGAUAUACGGUAUAUAGGAGUAUUGUAUUUUAUGUCAAACAUCGACGAUAGGUAUGGACAAAAUCCGACAAAUACUGUAUACAGACAGUGUAUAGAAGUACUGUAUUGUAUGGUAAACACUGACGGUUGGUAUGGACAAUUUCUGUAUCAUGCAUCAAUUGUAAAUAAAAGUAUCAUGUGAGUGACACAGGCUCAUUGAAGCCUCUAGUUUUGAUAUUAUUAAUGUGGAGAUCUGGUCUAAUUUAUCAUUUUCUCUAUUACAUGCAUGAUAACUGCAACAAUUGAAUUGAAAUAAAAGUGAUAAUAUUUCUGUUGUAGGUUAUCAAGAUUUAGUGUUUCCAUACAAGUGACAAAGAUUGAACAACAAAAACAUCUCAAACUUUACAGGACAGAGUAGACUUUUUUCACUGUGCUUAGUUUUGUCUUUAUGUCUAAAUUAUGAUACCUUUAAAAAAACCAAUAAAAUAUGGAAUAACAUUUAUUUCUAUCUUAUAAAGUGGAGUGAAGAAAUAAGGGGUCAUUGAAAACAUAAGAAUAUAUUGCUAUCAUAUAUGCAGAUCAGCAGCCC
RNAcentral lists this long non-coding RNA (4882 nucleotides) under Mytilus galloprovincialis (Mediterranean mussel). Lineage: Eukaryota; Metazoa; Mollusca; Bivalvia; Mytilida; Mytilidae. The record is from RNAcentral.